GAUGAACGCUGGCGGCGUGCCUAAUACAUGCAAGUCGAGCGAACAGAUGAGGAGCUUGCUCCUCUGACGUUAGCGGCGGACGGGUGAGUAACACGUGGAUAACCUACCUAUAAGACUGGGAUAACUUCGGGAAUCCGGAGCUAAUACCGGAUAAUAUAUUGAACCGCAUGGUUCAAUAGUGAAAGACGGUUUUGCUGUCACUUAUAGAUGGAUCCGCGCCGCAUUAGCUAGUUGGUAAGGUAACGGCUUACCAAGGCAACGAUGCGUAGCCGACCUGAGAGGGUGAUCGGCCACACUGGAACUGAGACACGAUCCAGACUCCUACGGGAGGCAGCAGUAGGGAAUCUUCCGCAAUGGGCGAAAGCCUGACGGAGCAACGCCGCGUGAGUGAUGAAGGUCUUCGGAUCGUAAAACUCUGUUAUUAGGGAAGAACAAAUGUGUAAGUAACUAUGCACGUCUUGACGGUACCUAAUCAGAAAGCCACGGCUAACUACGUG
This 497-nucleotide ribosomal RNA is filed under the name uncultured bacterium. RNAcentral describes it as "partial 16S ribosomal RNA". It matches the Rfam family "Bacterial small subunit ribosomal RNA", at positions 28 to 507 of the family's 1533-position model. The record is from RNAcentral.